This 133-nucleotide ribosomal RNA is filed under the name uncultured bacterium. Its description in RNAcentral is "partial 16S ribosomal RNA". It matches the Rfam family "Bacterial small subunit ribosomal RNA", at positions 356 to 502 of the family's 1533-position model. The record is from RNAcentral.
GGGGAAUUUUUCCGCAAUGGGCGAAAGCCUGACGGAGCAAUACCGCGUGAGGGAUGACGGCCUAUGGGUUGUAAACCUCUUUUUUCAGGGAGGAAUCAAUGACGUGUACCUGAAGAAUAAGCAUCGGCUAACU